Molecule: non-coding RNA, 1087 nt
Organism: Megalopta genalis
Lineage: Eukaryota; Metazoa; Arthropoda; Insecta; Hymenoptera; Halictidae
Source: RefSeq, a predicted model, not a curated record
AUUAAACACUAUCUUUAUUUGAAUUUUCGCGAUGGCUGUCGGUGAUCUUAAGACAGAUAAGGGUGUCAAGGAUUUAAAUUCUUAUUUAGCAGAUCGUAGUUAUAUCGAAGGGUGGCAACCUACUCAGGCAGACGUAGCAGUGCUAGAAGCUUUGGGAAAAACUCCAACAUCUUCGAAUCCUCAUGUUUUACGAUGGUACAACCAUAUCAAAUCGUAUGAUUUAGAGUCACUUCCUGGAGAGAAAAAAGCACCCACACUCUUAAGUAACGAUAAUGUUAAUCCACCAACAGUAGCAAAGAACGAAGACGAUGAUGACAUAGAUCUGUUUGGUUCUGAUGAAGAAGAAGAUGUAGAAGCUGUUAGAGUGAGAGAAGAAAGAUUAAAAGCAUACGCAGAAAAGAAAUCUAAAAAGCCAACUUUGAUUGCUAAAUCUAGUCUUGUAUUGGAUGUAAAACCAUGGGGGGAUGAGACAGACAUGAAAGCAAUGGAGAAAGCAGUUAGAUCUAUAGAAAUAGAUGGAUUAGUUUGGGGUGCAUCCAAACUAGUUGCUGUGGGCUAUGGUAUAUCUAAGUUCAGAAUAAUGUGUGUCAUAGAAGAUGACAAAGUAUCUGUGGACUUAUUGGUAGAACAAAUAGAAAGUUUUGAGGAUCUAGUUCAAUCUGUCGACAUUGAGUCAUUCAACAAAAUAUAAAUGACUGUUUGUGUCCGUUACUUUUAAUAUAAACUUAAUAAAUAAUAACCAUUGUUUCUAUAUAUAAUUUGUUAUUGGAUGAUCCUGAAGAAUUACUAAUGCAACUUCAAUGGAACAGACAUACAGCAAACACAAGGCAACUAGUUGCAUACGUGGAUCUGGGGCUACUCAACGAGGGAAAAAUUUAAAGUCCGCACAAGAUGCGAAAUCGAUCGCCAAGAGUUUAAUACUAUAAUAGAAUGAAUACGUCUGAGCUUAAAUCUAUCAUUGCGUUACUCAGUAACUUAUUACAUGUAUAUACGUUUGUUAUUUAAUAAUCAACAAUGAUCCCAUAAUGGAAAUGCAAUUUUUUAAAUAAAUGUCCAAAUGAAAUACUUUCAUUUUGACCACAAAGUA